GAUACCCUACGGGGGGCAGCAGUGGGGAAUAUUGGGCAAUGGGCGCAAGCCUGACCCAGCAAUGCCGCGUGAAGGAAGAAGGCUUUCGGGUUGUAAACUUCUUUUGACAGGGAAGAGUAGAAGACGGUACCUGUCGAAUAAGCCACGGCUAACUACGUGCCAGCAGCCGCGGUAAUACGUAGGAUGCGAGCGUUAUCCGGAUUUAUUGGGUUUAAAGGGUGCGUAGGCGGAAUGCCAAGUCAGCGGUAAAAUCGCGGGGCUCAACCUCGCUCCGCCGUUGAAACUGGCGUUCUUGAGUGGGCGAG
This 305-nucleotide ribosomal RNA is filed under the name uncultured bacterium. RNAcentral describes it as "bacterial SSU rRNA". It matches the Rfam family "Bacterial small subunit ribosomal RNA", at positions 333 to 654 of the family's 1533-position model. The record is from RNAcentral.